This 980-nucleotide ribosomal RNA is filed under the name bacterium enrichment culture clone PAH77-P15. RNAcentral describes it as "bacterial SSU rRNA". It matches the Rfam family "Bacterial small subunit ribosomal RNA", at positions 43 to 1056 of the family's 1533-position model. The record is from RNAcentral.
CAGGCCUAACACAUGCAAGUCGAGGGAGAAGCUACUUUCGGGUAGUGGAGACCGGCAGACGGGUGAGUAACACGUGGGAACAUACCUAGUGGUGGGGGAUAACAGUUGGAAACGACUGCUAAUACCGCAUACGCCCUUCGGGGGAAAGAUUUAUCGCCAUUAGAUUGGCCCGCGUUAGAUUAGCUAGUUGGUGGGGUAAUGGCCCACCAAGGCGACGAUCCGUAGCUGGUCUGAGAGGAUGAUCAGCCACAUCGGGACUGAGACACGGCCCGAACUCCUACGGGAGGCAGCAGUGGGGAAUAUUGGACAAUGGGGGCAACUCUGACGCAGCCAUGCCGCGUGAGUGAAGAAGGCCUUAGGGUUGUAAAGCUCUUUCAGACGUGAUGAUGAUGACAGUAACGUCAAAAGAAGUUCCGGCUAACUUCGUGCCAGCAGCCGCGGUAAUACGGAGGGAACUAGCGUUGUUCGGAUUUACUGGGCGUAAAGAGCAUGUAGGCGGAUUGGUCAGUUGGGGGUGAAAGCCCGGAGCUCAACUCCGGAACGGCCUUCAAUACUGCCAGUCUAGAGUCUGUAAGGGGGUGGUGGAAUUCCGAGUGUAGAGGUGAAAUUCGUAGAUAUUCGGAGGAACACCAGUGGCGAAGGCGACCACCUGGUACAGUACUGACGCUGAGAUGCGAAAGCGUGGGGAGCAAACAGGAUUAGAUACUCUGGUAGUCCACGCCGUAAACGAUGAGUGCUAGUUGUCGGGUUGCUUGCAACUCGGUGACGCAGCUAACGCAUUAAGCACUCCGCCUGGGGAGUACGGUCGCAAGAUUAAAACUCAAAGGAAUUGACGGGGGCCCGCACAAGCGGUGGAGCAUGUGGUUUAAUUCGAAGCAACGCGAAGAACCUUACCAAUUCUUGACAUACUCGUCGCGGAUUCUAGAGAUAGUUUUCUUCAGUUCGGCUGGACGAUGUACAGGUGCUGCAUGGCUGUCGUC